Cynocephalus volans (Philippine flying lemur) is the source of this 1656-nucleotide long non-coding RNA. RefSeq lists it as uncharacterized. The record is from RefSeq and is a predicted model, not a curated record. NCBI's taxonomy places the organism in Eukaryota, Metazoa, Chordata, Mammalia, Dermoptera, Cynocephalidae. The transcript has 3 exons.
UCUAAGACCCCAGCCCGACUAGCCAGCCGGACACCCCCUCAGCCCACAGACUUCUUCUAUCUGGCUUCCCUUCCUUAGCCCAGGGGCCCCUCAAUGUACAGACCCAGGACCCCCAGCUUUUGGCAGACUGGAGAACCCAGCACCCCCACCUCGCCCUGCCUAGAGACCCCAGCCCCUCCACUCCUCAGUCCCUCACUUAACCAAUUCUAAACUUCAGGUCACCACGGGGUCCCUGGUGCCCCUCCCCACUUCCAAAACACACCCUCUUCCCUUCACCUUCAGACUUAAUACCCUUCUUACCCCUUACCCUUAUCCCAGGUCUUCUGCCCCACAUGGCCUGAGGCCUCAACUCCCUCAGCCCCUGAAUCCACCACAACAAGUCCCCUUAUCCCCACACACACCGCUCCCCAAAUUCACCAUCUCCUAACGACCUCUUCAGUGAGAAUUCUCACUCUCCUACUGGGCUCACUUCCCUCAUUUACUACCCAAAUAAAUAUAUCCUGAUGCAUCCAUUAGUCCCUCUUUUUUAUUCUUUGACACCCCAGUUCUCAACUCUGCUCCCCAGUCUUCUCUGCUCAGGCUACCUCGUCCCUCAAGUCACCUCAGUACCCUGUCUGAAACACUGAUCCAAAAGGGACCCCACCCCCACACACAUCCAAAAGAUCCCUCCCCAUACCUGUUUCCUAAGAAGAGGCAAAAUGGUGGUAGGUUUUAUUUUGUUUUUCUGUGUCUAAAUAAGGGGAUGAAAUAAACUCAGGAAAAGGAAAGACAACAAGUACUUGAGAAGCUGGGAUUCACAUCCAUUACCACCUCAGCACAGAGAGCAAGAGUGAACAUUGAUGAUGAUGGUGGGUGCCUACAGGCCCCAACCUGUCGGAUGCAGCCCUGGCUCAUGAGAAUCCAUUCAGCCCAAAGUUGAACCAAUAAAGGUUGUGAUUCUUCUCUGCUGUUGAAUAGCAAGCCAUCUUGGGGUGGGAUGAACAAGGUGUAAGGAGCCUUGUUCCCUGAAGCACUGCAUGGAGGAGAGCAGCCCAUCAACCAGGAACAUCUUCCUUGGACUGUAACAUAGGCAAGAUACAAACUUUUGUUGUAACAAAUUAUUGAAAUUUUGGGCCUCUUUAUUCCCUCAGCCUAGCCUAACCUAAUACAUCCCAAUCCUCACCUGGCAGGAGUUGUCUUGUCAGUCAGGACUCAAUUUAAAUAUUACCUUCUCAGACGAUCUUUCUUCUUGAUUACUUAACAGUAGUAGCCUCUGCUCAUUCCCAGCCUGUCAGUCUACUAAAUUUUCAUUGUAGAAUUUAUCUCUACCUGGCAUCAUUUUGUUUGUUGUCACUGUCCAGAGACUGCAACACUGUAAGCUCCGUGGGAAUGUGCACCUUUGCUCAGCUCAGUGCUGUGAGUCUGGUACAUGCUACUGAAUGUUUAUUGAAGGAAUAUCUUCUAAUCACUUUUUUCUGAUCAGUUGUCAAUUCAGUUGGGAUGCAGAAACAUUUUUACCUGGCCAUUGAAGUAAAAGGACAGAAAGAGAACAAAGGACAAAUGUAAGGUUGCUUCUCUUUACAACUGAUUUGGGACUUUGGAUAAGGAACUAUAGUAAAAGUCUAUACAACCACUAGCAGAGAGGUGCUGUUUGCUAAUGUCUCAAUUUAGUCUGAU